Molecule: ribosomal RNA, 253 nt
Filed under: uncultured bacterium
Lineage: Bacteria
Description: partial 16S ribosomal RNA
Rfam family: Bacterial small subunit ribosomal RNA
Source: RNAcentral
UACGAAGGGGGCUAGCGUUGUUCGGAAUUACUGGGCGUAAAGCGUACGUAGGCGGCUUUGUAAGUUAGAGGUGAAAGCCCGGGGCUCAACCCCGGAAUUGCCUUUAAGACUGCAUCGCUUGAACGUCGGAGAGGUGAGUGGAAUUCCGAGUGUAGAGGUGAAAUUCGUAGAUAUUCGGAAGAACACCAGUGGCGAAGGCGGCUCACUGGACGACUGUUGACGCUGAGGUACGAAAGCGUGGGGAGCAAACAGG